This 20-nucleotide unclassified non-coding RNA is filed under the name Chlamydomonas reinhardtii. RNAcentral's name for it is "small RNA Cre_2470". Lineage: Eukaryota; Viridiplantae; Chlorophyta; Chlorophyceae; Chlamydomonadales; Chlamydomonadaceae. The record is from RNAcentral.
UCACCAGCGUGCAGUACAGC